Molecule: ribosomal RNA, 501 nt
Filed under: uncultured bacterium
Lineage: Bacteria
Description: partial 16S ribosomal RNA
Rfam family: Bacterial small subunit ribosomal RNA
Source: RNAcentral
AUUGUACGCUGGCGGCAUGCCUUACACAUGCAAGUCGAACGGCAGCACGGGUGCUUGCACCUGGUGGCGAGUGGCGAACGGGUGAGUAAUACAUCGGAACGUACCUUAUCGUGGGGGAUAACGCAGCGAAAGCUGUGCUAAUACCGCAUACGCCCUGAGGGGGAAAGCGGGGGAUCGAAAGACCUCGCGCGAUUAGAGCGGCCGAUGCCUGAUUAGCUUGUUGGUGGGGUAAAAGCCCACCAAGGCUACGUUCAGUAGCUGGUCUGAGAGGACGAUCAGCCACACUGGGACUGAGACACGGCCCAGACUCCUACGGGAGGCAGCAGUGGGGAAUGUUGGACAAUGGGGGCAACCCUGAUCCAGCAAUGCCGCGUGAGUGAAGAAGGCCUUCGGGUUGUAAAGCUCUUUUGUCAGGGAAGAAACACCGGCUCUAACACAGUCCGGGAAUGACGGUACCUGAAGAAUAAGCACCGGCUAACUACGUGCCAGCCGCCGCAGUAA